Molecule: small RNA, 449 nt
Filed under: Vigna angularis var. angularis
Lineage: Eukaryota; Viridiplantae; Streptophyta; Magnoliopsida; Fabales; Fabaceae
Description: Non-protein coding transcript
Source: RNAcentral
GCGUAUCUCUGCCAUAAAGUGCAUUAGCGUUUGGCUUAGCAGGCAUAGAAGUCGACGAGUUCGUUGAGAGACUCCGGUUGUGGGUCGGCGUUUUCGAGCAUCCACAGCAAGUGUUCGAAGAGGACAACCUCGCAUGCGACAUUGAUGGUGUCGUCUUGGUGGUCGGAGUCGUCGCGGGACCUCUCUACCAGUUCCCGGAAGACGGGGUUGUCGAGGACGCCGGAGGAGACCCGGUAGAGGCGGCGGGAUUUGCCGACGUAGACGGCGUGGAGGUCCGAUCUGGAGGAGGACUCAUCGUCGGCGACGGCGCUGGUGCUGUGGCGGCUCUGCUUGCCGUUGCCGAAUGAGUUCCAUUUCUUCAGCACCGAUUUCAGCCUCAUUAGUUUUCCACCUUUAGCCAUUACGUCAAAUGGUGAGAAUUGAAAUUGAAGAAGAAGAAGAAGAAGAAG